GGACCCGCACAAGCGGUGGAUGAUGUGGUUUAAUUCGAUGCAACGCGAAAAACCUUACCUACCUUUGACAUGUACGGAAUUCGCCAGAGAUGGCUUAGUGCUCGAAAGAGAACCGUAACACAGGUGCUGCAUGGCUGUCGUCAGCUCGUGUCGUGAGAUGUUGGGUUAAGUCCCGCAACGAGCGCAACCCUUGUCAUUAGUUGCUACAUUUAGUUGGGCACUCUAAUGAGACUGCCGGUGACAAACCGGAGGAAGGUGGGGAUGACGUCAAGUCCUCAUGGCCCUUAUAGGUAGGGCUACACACGUCAUACAAUGGAUGGUACAAAGGGUCGCCAACCCGCGAGGGGGAGCCAAUCCCAUAAAACCAUUCGUAGUCCGGAUCGCAGUCUGCAACUCGACUGCGUGAAGUCGGAAUCGCUAGUAAUCGUGGAUCAGAAUGUCACGGUGAAUACGUUCCCGGGUCUU
Molecule: ribosomal RNA, 465 nt
Filed under: uncultured bacterium
Lineage: Bacteria
Description: bacterial SSU rRNA
Rfam family: Bacterial small subunit ribosomal RNA
Source: RNAcentral